RNAcentral lists this ribosomal RNA (1254 nucleotides) under Triticum aestivum (bread wheat). RNAcentral describes it as "partial small subunit ribosomal RNA". Lineage: Eukaryota; Viridiplantae; Streptophyta; Magnoliopsida; Poales; Poaceae. The record is from RNAcentral.
AUGCUCCCUUCGGCUGGAAUAAUUAAAAUUCUGUGUGAGAGUCUCCAGAAGUUUCCAGUCAAAGCUUUAGUGGUGGAUCCAGUUAUGGUGUCUACAAGUGGAGAUAGUCUUUCAGAUCCAUCUACUCUCACUUACUAUAGGGAUGAACUAUUUGCCAUGGCCGAUAUAGUCACCCCAAAUGUGAAAGAAGCUUCAAAAUUACUUGGGGGUGUAUCAUUGCACACAAUCGCCGAUAUGCGUGAUGCAGCAGAAUCCAUUUACAAAUUUGGUCCAAGAUAUGUACUUGUGAAAGGCGGGGACAUGCCAGAUUCAUCAGAAGCUAUUGACGUAUUCUACGAUGGCAAGGAAUUCGUCGAGCUUCGUGGGCAUCGCAUAAAGACCCGCAACACACAUGGAACUGGUUGCACUUUAGCCUCAUCUAUUGCUGCCGAGUUAGCAAAAGGUUCAAGUAUGCUGAAUGCUGUUCAGGUGGCGAAGAACUUUGUUGAAUCGGCUCUUCAUCACAGUAAAGACCUUGUCAUUGGAAAUGGACCUCAAGGCCCUUUUGACCACCUUUUCAGGCUCAGGUGUCCUCCAUACAAUAUUGGAUCACAGCAAAGGUUCAAUCCAGACAGCCUCUUCCUGUAUGCAGUGACAGACUCUAGGAUGAACAAAAGGUGGGGUCAUUCAAUAGAAGAUGCCGUGAAAGCUGCAAUUGAAGGAGGCGCCACCAUUGUCCAACUGAGAGAAAAGGACAUUGAAUCACGGGCGUUCUUGGAGGCUGCCAAGGCUUGCAUGGAUAUUUGCAAGUCGAGUGGAGUGCCGCUGCUGAUCAACGACCGUGUAGACAUUGCCCUGGCAUGCAAUGCUGAUGGUGUCCAUGUUGGCCAAUCAGACAUUUCAGCACGGGAGGUUCGGAAGCUCUUAGGACCGGGUAAAAUCAUCGGUGUCUCGUGCAAGACCCCUGCUCAAGCCGAGCAGGCUUGGAGAGACGGGGCGGACUACCUCGGCUGCGGCGGCGUCUUCCCAACCACGACGAAGGCGAACAAUCCCACCUUGGGAUUUGAAGGGCUGAAGGCUGUUUGCUUGGCUUCAAAGUUGCCUGUGGUUGCCAUUGGUGGCAUCAACGCGACAAAUGCAGGUUCGGUGAUGGAACUUGGCCUCCCCAAUCUCAAAGGUGUCGCUGUGGUCUCUGCCUUGUUCGAUCGUGAAUGCGUCUCGACUGAGACGAGAAACCUCAGAUCCAUCUUGACGAGUGUGCGAUGCUUGGCGUAG